AGGUAGCUGUAGAGUGUGAUAAGGUCACCCCUGAGCCUCCUCCAGGCUGAACAAUCCCAGCUCCCUCAGCCGCUCCUCGUAAGACUUGUUCUCCAGACCCCUCACCAGCUUCAUUGCCCUUCUGGACACAAUGAAAGACAGUUACUUUCUAAAGCAAGGUCUGGUGCAUAAUGGACUACCAUUGGAUGUCAGCUUGAGAAACACUGCUGUGACUUUACAUUGAAGAAGGCAUCGAAGGUGGCUGGUUUGUGAAUGGCACAGUACCAUCAUUGCAUAUUAGGCUCGCAGCGAUGAAAACAAUUAUCCUGUUUGGCUUCUGGAAAUACCCUGCCUUUAGCCUUAUUAUGCACCUGAGAUGGGUGAAACUGUCUCAACUAUAAUUAUAUUACAGAAGACCUAGGGCCUGAUCCUGCAACUGUUAAGCAUCCUGCAACAGCUAUUUGUCAGUGAUAAAGAAGAACAAAUAACACCG
This is a long non-coding RNA of Cygnus olor (mute swan), 472 nucleotides long. RefSeq lists it as uncharacterized. The transcript is spliced from 3 exons. The record is from RefSeq and is a predicted model, not a curated record. Lineage: Eukaryota; Metazoa; Chordata; Aves; Anseriformes; Anatidae.